GAUCGUUUCCACUUUACGGUAAUUGAUUCACUAUAUCGUGAAAAUUAAAAACCUUUAUAUAUUUUCACGGUUUCAAAAUAUUAGGUUGGAAUAAACGAGUGUAAAUUCUAGUUUUACUGUUUUGAUUAUGCGCCUUUAAAUUUUCGGCAUUUACAUAUUUUCGAGAUUUACUGCAUUGAAACCAAGCGUUCGAUUGCUUGACGUCACUUCGUGAUCGACAUCGAUGAAACGCUUGCUUACGCUGUAGAUGUUAUUUUCUGUGCAAAUACAAGCGUCUAUUGAUAACGAAACGAUAAUUUGUCAACAAUGAGAAUCAGAUACUUGGCUUAAUAAUUUUCAUUUAAAAUGUCUAAUUUGGAUAUAAUUCGGAAUACAAAACGAAACUUAAAAGGUAUUGAAAACAACAACGUUCAAAAGAACAAUGUGGAUUUCAAUAGAAAGACUAUUUCCACCGACAAUCAGGAUUUCCGGUAUGACCACUGUUAUUUUGACGAUUUUUCUAUCGGUUCGUCGGUAAGCGUGACCACAUGUGACAACAGCGAUGCUAGUUGGAUAUAAAAUUGGAAGACGUGUCGUUGAACUCGACACAUUGACCGAAUCGCUUUUAGCAUGCAGUGCUUGUCAAGUGCCCAUGAAUUUACUUAACACUGUAGAAAGCAGGGAUUUCGGACAGGCAUGUGUUUUGGACAUACAGUUUAGCAAUUGUGGUGCAGUAAAUAAUGUGGCUACUGGACGGAAACAUGGCAGAGUUUAUGACAUGAUCACAAAGCUUGCAUUUGGGUAAAUCAAAAACUGGGUGUUUCACCUGGGACUUUCACAUCGAAACUGGCCCUUCUGCAUGACCUUCAGCACAAAAAAAGAAAAGCUAUAGCUGUUACUCGUGCAGCAAAACAGUGACGCAUAAGACUAAAAACUCGAACGGCAUUCAAAGGAAAGUGCAAGAAGUACGAGUGGGACCAACAUACAGUUCAAACAUAGAGGACCAAGACGUUGAAGUUACAACUAUACCCCCACCUAUACCCAAGCCUGGUCAAGCAGGGCUAGACACUACUGGGAAGGAAUUUGUUUUCUUUGAUUUGGAAACAAGAGGGUUAGAGCACACUUCUCACAUAAUUCAGAUAGCUGCAGUGCAUUCAACUGGUCAAUUUUCAACAUAUGUGAUGCAUGAGAAGAAGAUUUCUUUGCAAGCGUCAGAAAUAACUGGAGUGACAGUUGUUAGCGACUCUAUGCUUGUCAAGAGACAAACAGCA
Dreissena polymorpha is the source of this 1250-nucleotide long non-coding RNA. RefSeq lists it as uncharacterized. Lineage: Eukaryota; Metazoa; Mollusca; Bivalvia; Myida; Dreissenidae. The transcript has 4 exons. The record is from RefSeq and is a predicted model, not a curated record.